This 492-nucleotide ribosomal RNA is filed under the name uncultured bacterium. Its description in RNAcentral is "partial 16S ribosomal RNA". It matches the Rfam family "Bacterial small subunit ribosomal RNA", at positions 29 to 507 of the family's 1533-position model. The record is from RNAcentral.
AGUGAACGCUGGCGGUAGGCCUAACACAUGCAAGUCGAACGGCAGCACAGUAAGAGCUUGCUCUUACGGGUGGCGAGUGGCGGACGGGUGAGGAAUACAUCGGAAUCUACUUUUUCGUGGGGGAUAACGUAGGGAAACUUACGCUAAUACCGCAUACGACCUACGGGUGAAAGCAGGGGAUCUUCGGACCUUGCGCGAUUGAAUGAGCCGAUGUCGGAUUAGCUAGUUGGCGGGGUAAAGGCCCACCAAGGCGACGAUCCGUAGCUGGUCUGAGAGGAUGAUCAGCCACACUGGAACUGAGACACGGUCCAGACUCCUACGGGAGGCAGCAGUGGGGAAUAUUGGACAAUGGGCACAAGCCUGAUCCAGCCAUACCGCGUGGGUGAAGAAGGCCUUCGGGUUGUAAAGCCCUUUUGUUGGGAAAGAAAAGCAGCAGGUUAAUACCCCGCUGUUCCGACGGUACCCAAAGAAUAAGCACCGGCUAACUUCGUG